CGGUAAUUCCAGCUCCAAUAGCGUAUACUAAAGUUGUUGCAGUUAAAAAGCUCGUAGUUGGAUUUCUGCGCGGGCGGGGCGUCCGCUGGCCUCAGGUCAGGUUGGGCAGCAACGCCCGCGCAUCCUGCCGCGAACCACGCUACCAUUCAUUUGGUGGCGUUGGGGACCGGCUCGUUUACUUUGAGGAAAUUUAAGUGUUCAAAGCAGGUUUUACCGCCUUGAAAAUGCUAGCAUGGAAUAAUGAUAAAGGACUUUGGUUCUAUUUUGUUGGUGUUCGGAACCGAAGUAAUGAUUGAUAGGGACAGUUGGGGGCGUCUGUAUUCUGAAGCGAGAGGUGAAAUUCUUAGACCUUCGGAAGACAAACAGCUGCGAAAGCGUUCGCCAAGGAUGUUCCCUUUGAUCAAGAACGAAAGUUGGGGGAUCGAAGACGAUCAGAUACCGUCGUAGUCUCAACUAUAAACUAUACCACCUAGGGAUCGGCCAACGUUGAUUCAUAAAGACUUGGUCGGCACCUUAUGAGAAAUCAAAGGAUUUGGGUUCCGGGGGGAGUAUGGUCGCAAGGCUGAAACUUAAAGGAAUUGACGGAAGGGCACCACCAGGCGUGGAGCCUGUGGCUUAAUUUGACUCAACACGGGGAAACUUACCAGGUCCAGACAUAGGAAGGAUUGACAGAUUGACAGCUCUUUCUUGAUUCUAUGGGUGGUGGUGCAUGGCCGUUCUUAGUUGGUGGAGUGAUUUGUCUGGUUAAUUCCGUUAACGAACGAGACCCCAGCCUGUUAAAUAGCGCGCGUCGUUUCUGACGGCGGCGAGCUUCUUAGAGGGACUACGGUUCGCCAUAGACCGGGGAAGUUUGGGGCAAUAACAGGUCUGUGAUGCCCUUAGAUGUUCUGGGCCGCACACGGGCUACACUGACGCGUGCAACGAGCAUAUCAGCUGGCCCGAGAGGGCAUAGGCUAAUCUUUUGAACUCGCGUCGUGCUAGGGAUUGACCAUUGCAAUUGUUGGUCAUGCAACGAGGAAUGCCUUGUAAACGCGAGUCAUCAACUCGCAUUGAAUACGUCCCUGCCCCUUGUACACACCGCCC
RNAcentral lists this ribosomal RNA (1083 nucleotides) under uncultured Rhizaria. RNAcentral describes it as "bacterial SSU rRNA". It matches the Rfam family "Eukaryotic small subunit ribosomal RNA", at positions 577 to 1674 of the family's 1831-position model. The record is from RNAcentral.